UUUCAAAAAGUAGUCGGUGGAGAAUCACCAUUGAAUGGGUGUGUUUCUAGAGUGGUUCCAUUGGUUCUAGGACUGACUAUACAACAGUUGUAUCAAUUAUUUGGAAGUAAAUAUAAACCCACCGCUAAUAAUAUUUGCAGAUGACAGAUUGGUGGAAUGGUAAAAUAUGAUGAGGAUAGGGCAAUUAUACAGAGAUGUAUUGUAAUGCAACCAAAUACAAGGUCUUACUUGCAAAAUGGAAGACUAAACUCUGGAAAACCGUGAUUCUACAAAAAUUAGGGGUCGUACUGGACAAGCAACAACAUGAGCUCCCAGUGCAAUGCUGUGGCAAAAACAGCUAAUGUAUAAAUGGGGAGUAGGGAGGAGCUUUUACUUGCGUAUACAGCAUUGGUGAGCCAAAUAUUGAAUUAUGUCCAGUGCCGGUGUGCACAUUUUAAAAAGGCUGUUGAAAAGUUGGAGAGAGUGCAGAAAAGAGCCAUACAAAUUAUUUGAGAACUGGAGAACAUGCCUUACAGUAAGAGACUUAAAGAACUAAAUCUGUUUAGCUUAUUAAAAAGAUUGACAGGUGAUUUAAUUACAGUGUAUAAGUAUCUUCACAGGGAGAAAAUACUAGGUACAAAGGGGCUUUUUAAUCUAGUAGAGAAAGGCAGAACAAGAAACAAUGGCUGAAAGCUGAAGCAAGACAAAUUCAAAUUAAAAAUAAAGCAGAAAUUGUUAACAGGGAGGGCGAUUAACCAUUGGAUGUAGUAGAUUCUCUAAAUCUUCAAGUAAAGACUUGAUGCAUAUCUUCCAGAAAGACUUUAGCUAAACACAAGCUCUUGGGUUCAAUAUAGGAGUAACUAGGUGAAAUGCAGCCCAGGUUCAUGGCAGACCAAGACAGCCAAAGUGCUCUCAACCCAUCCAUUUGGAAGAAGCCUGCCUGACCAGAAAGGCACUAAUGUUCCUGGAAAGUCAACUAACCUGUGCUGUAUCAGACCAAGCAGAUUCUGGAGCCAAAUGCCCUCCGCCAAGAACAGGCAAGUGUACAUAGCUUAGAUUUACUAGUACGAGCAUCCCAGCUGAUCUCAGUUGCCUGAGUAAAACACUAAGAGUGAAAGCUCCCCAAACUCCAACACUUAAAUGGCUUUCAUUCUCUAAGCUAGAAGUGAAAAUGAAUUAGAAAACAGGGAGCACUGGGGUAAUAUGGUCCUGCCAUAAAGCACAACUAAGCCACUGUCUGAGCCUGCUCGAUUAAACUCAGUGGAAGCCUUGCCGUUGACUUCAGUGGGCACAAGAUCAGGCUGUUGGAGGGCUGCUACAUUUUGCACCAAGUAGGAUACACGGCAGUGAUCCAGCCUGGAGCUGACAAAGAUGUGGAUGAUUAUGGCAUUGUCUCUAUCCAGGACCACAUUCUGGAAAACACUUAAGCAUGCACUUAAGUUCAUCUUAAGUAAGCAUAUACUUACUUUUCAGUGAAAAGUUAAGACUCCCUCUGCCUCCACUGCCUGUUUCAAAAUCACAGGUUUCAGAUCUCUCAGUAGGCUAUGAACCUGAGACAAGUUAAAACUAACACAUCUCAGAAUAAAAAUUACAAAGCUUGCUAUUAUACAAAAGAAAUAGAGACUGGUAUCUGCUUCCUGGGAAGAGUGAUGUUGCCCACACAGCAUGGCGAACACGAGCUAAAGAAUACCAGUUAGACAUAAUUACAUUUCAUUAAAGCAUAAUAGCAUCCAGUUAGACUGCUGGGUAAACUACUAAGGGGAGUUUAUCAUCUAGCAAAUUUUAUUUAAAACAGUUAAACACUGAUUCACAGGAAAUUUAAACAGUUUCUCACUGAAUUGCAGUGUUGUAGGGGGUCUUGUUUUCUUUUUACCAGCUUGUUGAAAUCUCUUGCUAACUGGCUUGCGAUAGCCUGCCAAGACAAGAUCCUUGUGAUCUGUAAAGGGAGAUAUAAGGAAUAAAGAGAACAAUUUUUGCUCCCUCGA
This is a long non-coding RNA of Dermochelys coriacea (leatherback sea turtle), 1964 nucleotides long. RefSeq lists it as uncharacterized. Lineage: Eukaryota; Metazoa; Chordata; Testudines; Dermochelyidae. The record is from RefSeq and is a predicted model, not a curated record. The transcript is spliced from 2 exons.